UACGGAGGUUGCAAGCGUUGUUCGGAAUAACUGGGCGUAAAGGGAGCGCAGGCGGCUUUGUAAGUCUAAAGUGAAAACCCAGGGCUCAACUCUGGAACUGCUUUGGAUACUGCAAGGCUUGAGUACGUGAGAGGAGAUUGGAAUUCCAGGUGUAGCGGUGAAAUGCGUAGAUAUCUGGAGGAACACCGGUGGCGAAAGCGGAUCUCUGGCACGUUACUGACGCUGAGGCUCGAAAGCGUGGGGAGCAAACGGG
RNAcentral lists this ribosomal RNA (253 nucleotides) under uncultured bacterium. Its description in RNAcentral is "partial 16S ribosomal RNA". It matches the Rfam family "Bacterial small subunit ribosomal RNA", at positions 524 to 776 of the family's 1533-position model. The record is from RNAcentral.